CUCACUUGUAUCAAACAUUUGUUUGCUGAC
This 30-nucleotide non-coding RNA is filed under the name Mus musculus (house mouse). The record is from RNAcentral. Lineage: Eukaryota; Metazoa; Chordata; Mammalia; Rodentia; Muridae.